This 76-nucleotide transfer RNA is filed under the name Alphaproteobacteria bacterium. RNAcentral's name for it is "tRNA-Phe". It matches the Rfam family "tRNA". From Rfam's summary of the family: Transfer RNA (tRNA) molecules are approximately 80 nucleotides in length. Their secondary structure includes four short double-helical elements and three loops (D, anti-codon, and T loops). Further hydrogen bonds mediate the characteristic L-shaped molecular structure. tRNAs have two regions of fundamental functional importance: the anti-codon, which is responsible for specific mRNA codon recognition, and the 3' end, to which the tRNAs corresponding amino acid is attached (by aminoacyl-tRNA synthetases). tRNAs cope with the degeneracy of the genetic code in two manners: having more than one tRNA (with a specific anti-codon) for a particular amino acid; and 'wobble' base-pairing, i.e. permitting non-standard base-pairing at the 3rd anti-codon position. The record is from RNAcentral. Lineage: Bacteria; Pseudomonadati; Pseudomonadota; Alphaproteobacteria. RNAcentral also lists the same sequence under 1 other name.
GCCUGGGUAGCUCAGUUGGUAGAGCAACGGAUUGAAAAUCCGUGUGUCGGCGGUUCGAUUCCGUCCCCAGGCACCA